This 344-nucleotide ribosomal RNA is filed under the name uncultured bacterium. Its description in RNAcentral is "partial 16S ribosomal RNA". It matches the Rfam family "Bacterial small subunit ribosomal RNA", at positions 338 to 679 of the family's 1533-position model. The record is from RNAcentral.
CCUACGGGGGGCAGCAGUGAGGAAUAUUGGUCAAUGGGCGUACGCCUGAACCAGCCAAGUCGCGUGAGGGAAGACUGCCCGAUGGGUUGUAAACCUCUUUUGUCAGGGAGCAACGCCGGCUACGUGUAGCCGGACUGAGAGGACCUGAAGAAAAAGCAGCGGCUAACUCCGUGCCAGCAGCCGCGGUAAUACGGAGGAUGCGAGCGUUAUCCGGAUUUAUUGGGUGUAAAUGGUGCGUAGGCGGAAUGCCAAGUCAGCGGUAAAAUCGCGGGGCUCAACCUCGCUCCGCCGUUGAAACUGGCGUUCUUGUGUGGGCGAGACGUCUGCGGAAUGCGUGGUGUAGC